CUGCCAUCUUUAUAUUCCCUGCACAGGUCUGGCACUGAAUCUUGCAGUGAAGAAUCAGUACCAGAACUCAAGGAACAAAAUUCCACAGAAUAAGCCCAGGUGGCAGCAGCAGCCGCAUUUGAUGAAGAACCAGUCAAGAAAGCAAAACACAGUCAGAGUGAAGAAAAGAAGGCACAGAAGGCUAUGGCUAUGUCCAAACUGGGUCUGUGAAAGGCUAUGAGGGUUACUAGAGUCGCUAUCCCGAAAUCUAAGAAUAUCCUCUUUGUCAUCACAAAACCAGAUGUCUACAAGAGCCUAGCUUCAAACACCUACAUAGUUUGGCUUGGGGAGGGGGGAGCGGGGAACUAAGAUCAAAGAUUUAUCUCAACAAGCACAGCUAAGAGCUGCUGAGAAGUUCAAAGUUCAAGGUGAAGUUGUCUCAAACAUUCAAGAAAACAUGCAGACUUAACUAUAUAAGAGGAGAGGUAAGAGGAGGAGGUUGAGGAAGCAGGUGUGAAACUUAAGGAUAUAGGAUUGGUCUUGUCACAAGCAAAUGUGUGAGCAAAGGCAGUCGGAGUCCUGAAGAACAACAGUGCUGAUAUUGUAAAUGCUAUCAUGGAAUUAAUGUAA
This 609-nucleotide long non-coding RNA is filed under the name Homo sapiens (human). Its description in RNAcentral is "non-protein coding lnc-RRAGD-1:1". The record is from RNAcentral. Lineage: Eukaryota; Metazoa; Chordata; Mammalia; Primates; Hominidae.